AUGUGAGAUGCAGUGUAUGGAAUGUCAAAUUUCUAGUAUGAGAAAUUAACGAUUUAAGUCCUUCUUAAAUGAGGCCAUUUACCCACAGAGGGUGCCAGGCCCGUAUAACGUUAAUGAUUACUAGAUGGCAUUUCCAAAGAGUCGUGUUGCUUGAUAGUGCAGCACUAAGUGGGUGGUAAACUCCAUCUAAAACUAAAUAUAACCAUGAGACCGAUAGUAAACAAGUACCGUGAGGGAAAGUUGAAAAGAACUCUGAAUAGAGAGUUAAAUAGUACGUGAAACUGCUUAGAGGUUAAGCCCGAUGAACCUGAAUAUCCAUUAUAGAAAAUUCAUCAUUAUGAUUUUAAUAUUUAUAAUAUUAGAAGAAUAGUGUGCAUUUUUUCUAUAACGGACAUUGUAAUCUAUUAAUAUAACAUAUUUAUCAUAAGGUCGAUGGUGCAGAUGUAUGUUCGAAUUAUUUUGCUUGCAAUUUAACAUAGAAGAUACGCUCUCGACCCGAUAAAGUGUUGAUAGAUUUAUUGUAUAUAGUGCUUAAAUAUUUAUAUUUUAUAAUAGCAUAUUAAUCAUUGAUUUUUAUGUUUAUUAUAU
RNAcentral lists this ribosomal RNA (588 nucleotides) under Spirobolomyia flavipalpis. RNAcentral's name for it is "eukaryotic LSU rRNA". It matches the Rfam family "Eukaryotic large subunit ribosomal RNA", at positions 136 to 634 of the family's 3401-position model. Lineage: Eukaryota; Metazoa; Arthropoda; Insecta; Diptera; Sarcophagidae. The record is from RNAcentral.